RNAcentral lists this ribosomal RNA (253 nucleotides) under uncultured bacterium. Its description in RNAcentral is "partial 16S ribosomal RNA". It matches the Rfam family "Bacterial small subunit ribosomal RNA", at positions 524 to 776 of the family's 1533-position model. The record is from RNAcentral.
UACGUAGGUGGCGAGCGUUGUCCGGAUUUACUGGGCGUAAAGAGCGCGCAGGCGGUCGUGCAAGUCGCGUGUGAAAUCCCCGGGCUUAACCUGGGAACUGCAUUUGUGACUGCAUCGCUGGAGUGCGGCAGAGGGGGAUGGAAUUCCGCGUGUAGCAGUGAAAUGCGUAGAUAUGCGGAGGAACACCGAUGGCGAAGGCAAUCCCCUGGGCCUGCACUGACGCUCAUGCACGAAAGCGUGGGGAGCAAACAGG